CUCCCCGUUGCUGACCCCAGGUUCGAUAGCGCCAUUUAGGCGCCACCUCGCCAAGAACCAGCUUCGGUGAAGCGACGGGCGGUGUGUGCAAGGAG
RNAcentral lists this ribosomal RNA (95 nucleotides) under uncultured archaeon. RNAcentral's name for it is "partial 16S ribosomal RNA". The record is from RNAcentral.